UAGAGUUUGAUCAUGGCUCAGGAUGAACGCUAGCGGCGUGCCUAAUACAUGCAAGUCGAACGGGGAGGUUUGUAGCAAUACGGACCUCCUAGUGGCGAACGGGUGAGUAACGCGUUGGUGACCUGCCCCGAAGAGGGGGAUAACAGCUCGAAAGGGCUGCUAAUACCCCAUGUGGUCAACGAGGUUAGAGGCUGGUUGACUAAAGGAGCAAUCCGCUUCGGGAGGGGCCUGCGUCCCAUCAGCUAGUUGGUAGGGUAACGGCCUACCAAGGCGACGACGGGUAGGGGGCCUGAGAGGGUGACCCCCCACAAUGGCACUGAAACACGGGCCAUACACCUACGGGUGGCAGCAGUAGGGAAUAUUGCACAAUGGGCGAAAGCCUGAUGCAGCAACGCCGCGUGCGCGAUGAAGGCCUUCGGGUUGUAAAGCGCUUUUCGGGGAGAUGAGGAAGGACAGUAUCCCCGGAAUAAGUCUCGGCUAACUACGUGCCAGCCGCCGCGGUAAUUCA
Molecule: ribosomal RNA, 508 nt
Filed under: uncultured bacterium
Lineage: Bacteria
Description: bacterial SSU rRNA
Rfam family: Bacterial small subunit ribosomal RNA
Source: RNAcentral